RNAcentral lists this ribosomal RNA (491 nucleotides) under uncultured bacterium. RNAcentral describes it as "partial 16S ribosomal RNA". It matches the Rfam family "Bacterial small subunit ribosomal RNA", at positions 29 to 506 of the family's 1533-position model. The record is from RNAcentral.
AGUGAACGCUGGCGGUAGGCCUAACACAUGCAAGUCGAACGGCAGCACAGUAAGAGCUUGCUCUUACGGGUGGCGAGUGGCGGACGGGUGAGGAAUACAUCGGAAUCUACUUUUUCGUGGGGGAUAACGUAGGGAAACUUACGCUAAUACCGCAUACGACCUACGGGUGAAAGCAGGGGAUCUUCGGACCUUGCGCGAUUGAAUGAGCCGAUGUCGGAUUAGCUAGUUGGCGGGGUAAAGGCCCACCAAGGCGACGAUCCGUAGCUGGUCUGAGAGGAUGAUCAGCCACACUGGAACUGAGACACGGUCCAGACUCCUACGGGAGGCAGCAGUGGGGAAUAUUGGACAAAGGGCGCAAGCCUGAUCCAGCCACACCGCGUGGGUGAAGAAGGCCUUCGGGUUGUAAAGCCCUUUUGUUGGGAAAGAAAAGCAGCAGGUUAAUACCCCGCUGUUCUGACGGUACCCAAAGAAUAAGCACCGGCUAACUUCGU